RNAcentral lists this ribosomal RNA (2903 nucleotides) under Klebsiella pneumoniae. RNAcentral describes it as "23S ribosomal RNA". It matches the Rfam family "Bacterial large subunit ribosomal RNA". Lineage: Bacteria; Pseudomonadati; Pseudomonadota; Gammaproteobacteria; Enterobacterales; Enterobacteriaceae. The record is from RNAcentral.
GGUUAAGCGACUAAGCGUACACGGUGGAUGCCCUGGCAGUCAGAGGCGAUGAAGGACGUGCUAAUCUGCGAUAAGCGUCGGUAAGGUGAUAUGAACCGUUAUAACCGGCGAUUUCCGAAUGGGGAAACCCAGUGUGAUUCGUCACACUAUCAUUAACUGAAUCCAUAGGUUAAUGAGGCGAACCGGGGGAACUGAAACAUCUAAGUACCCCGAGGAAAAGAAAUCAACCGAGAUUCCCCCAGUAGCGGCGAGCGAACGGGGAGCAGCCCAGAGCCUGAAUCAGCUUGUGUGUUAGUGGAACGGUCUGGAAAGUCCGACGGUACAGGGUGAUAGUCCCGUACACCAAAAUGCACAGGCUGUGAACUCGAAGAGUAGGGCGGGACACGUGGUAUCCUGUCUGAAUAUGGGGGGACCAUCCUCCAAGGCUAAAUACUCCUGACUGACCGAUAGUGAACCAGUACCGUGAGGGAAAGGCGAAAAGAACCCCGGCGAGGGGAGUGAAAAAGAACCUGAAACCGUGUACGUACAAGCAGUGGGAGCACCUUCGGGUGUGACUGCGUACCUUUUGUAUAAUGGGUCAGCGACUUAUAUUCUGUAGCAAGGUUAACCGUAUAGGGGAGCCGCAGGGAAACCGAGUCUUAACUGGGCGUUAAGUUGCAGGGUAUAGACCCGAAACCCGGUGAUCUAGCCAUGGGCAGGUUGAAGGUUGGGUAACACUAACUGGAGGACCGAACCGACUAAUGUUGAAAAAUUAGCGGAUGACUUGUGGCUGGGGGUGAAAGGCCAAUCAAACCGGGAGAUAGCUGGUUCUCCCCGAAAGCUAUUUAGGUAGCGCCUCGUGAACUCAUCUUCGGGGGUAGAGCACUGUUUCGGCUAGGGGGUCAUCCCGACUUACCAACCCGAUGCAAACUACGAAUACCGAAGAAUGUUAUCACGGGAGACACACGGCGGGUGCUAACGUCCGUCGUGAAGAGGGAAACAACCCAGACCGCCAGCUAAGGUCCCAAAGUCAUGGUUAAGUGGGAAACGAUGUGGGAAGGCCCAGACAGCCAGGAUGUUGGCUUAGAAGCAGCCAUCAUUUAAAGAAAGCGUAAUAGCUCACUGGUCGAGUCGGCCUGCGCGGAAGAUGUAACGGGGCUAAACCAUGCACCGAAGCUGCGGCAGCGACACUAUGUGUUGUUGGGUAGGGGAGCGUUCUGUAAGCCUGCGAAGGUGUGCUGUGAGGCAUGCUGGAGGUAUCAGAAGUGCGAAUGCUGACAUAAGUAACGAUAAAGCGGGUGAAAAGCCCGCUCGCCGGAAGACCAAGGGUUCCUGUCCAACGUUAAUCGGGGCAGGGUGAGUCGACCCCUAAGGCGAGGCCGAAAGGCGUAGUCGAUGGGAAACAGGUUAAUAUUCCUGUACUUGGUGUUACUGCGAAGGGGGGACGGAGAAGGCUAUGUUAGCCGGGCGACGGUUGUCCCGGUUUAAGCAUGUAGGCUGAUUGUCCAGGCAAAUCCGGAUAAUCAAGGCUGAGGUGUGAUGACGAGGCACUACGGUGCUGAAGUAACAAAUGCCCUGCUUCCAGGAAAAGCCUCUAAGCAUCAGGUAACAUCAAAUCGUACCCCAAACCGACACAGGUGGUCAGGUAGAGAAUACCAAGGCGCUUGAGAGAACUCGGGUGAAGGAACUAGGCAAAAUGGUGCCGUAACUUCGGGAGAAGGCACGCUGAUAUGUAGGUGAAGCGACUUGCUCGUGGAGCUGAAAUCAGUCGAAGAUACCAGCUGGCUGCAACUGUUUAUUAAAAACACAGCACUGUGCAAACACGAAAGUGGACGUAUACGGUGUGACGCCUGCCCGGUGCCGGAAGGUUAAUUGAUGGGGUUAUCCGUAAGGAGAAGCUCUUGAUCGAAGCCCCGGUAAACGGCGGCCGUAACUAUAACGGUCCUAAGGUAGCGAAAUUCCUUGUCGGGUAAGUUCCGACCUGCACGAAUGGCGUAAUGAUGGCCAGGCUGUCUCCACCCGAGACUCAGUGAAAUUGAACUCGCUGUGAAGAUGCAGUGUACCCGCGGCAAGACGGAAAGACCCCGUGAACCUUUACUAUAGCUUGACACUGAACAUUGAGCCUUGAUGUGUAGGAUAGGUGGGAGGCUUUGAAGCGUGGACGCCAGUCUGCGUGGAGCCAACCUUGAAAUACCACCCUUUAAUGUUUGAUGUUCUAACGUUGGCCCCUGACCGGGGUUGCGGACAGUGUCUGGUGGGUAGUUUGACUGGGGCGGUCUCCUCCCAAAGCGUAACGGAGGAGCACGAAGGUUAGCUAAUCCUGGUCGGACAUCAGGAGGUUAGUGCAAUGGCAUAAGCUAGCUUGACUGCGAGCGUGACGGCGCGAGCAGGUGCGAAAGCAGGUCAUAGUGAUCCGGUGGUUCUGAAUGGAAGGGCCAUCGCUCAACGGAUAAAAGGUACUCCGGGGAUAACAGGCUGAUACCGCCCAAGAGUUCAUAUCGACGGCGGUGUUUGGCACCUCGAUGUCGGCUCAUCACAUCCUGGGGCUGAAGUAGGUCCCAAGGGUAUGGCUGUUCGCCAUUUAAAGUGGUACGCGAGCUGGGUUUAGAACGUCGUGAGACAGUUCGGUCCCUAUCUGCCGUGGGCGCUGGAGAAUUGAGGGGGGCUGCUCCUAGUACGAGAGGACCGGAGUGGACGCAUCACUGGUGUUCGGGUUGUCAUGCCAAUGGCACUGCCCGGUAGCUAAAUGCGGAAGAGAUAAGUGCUGAAAGCAUCUAAGCACGAAACUUGCCCCGAGAUGAGUUCUCCCUGAGACUUUAAGUCUCCUGAAGGAACGUUGAAGACGACGACGUUGAUAGGCCGGGUGUGUAAGCGCAGCGAUGCGUUGAGCUAACCGGUACUAAUGAACCGUGAGGCUUAACCUU